RNAcentral lists this ribosomal RNA (729 nucleotides) under uncultured archaeon. RNAcentral's name for it is "bacterial SSU rRNA". It matches the Rfam family "Archaeal small subunit ribosomal RNA", at positions 58 to 763 of the family's 1478-position model. The record is from RNAcentral.
UCGAGCGUUUCUCAGCUAUGAAAGAGACGCGGCAGACGGCUCAGUAACAUGUGGCUAACCUGCCCUUAGGACAUAGAUAACCCCGGGAAACUGGGGCUAAUAUUUGAUAAGCGUGGAUUCCUGGAAUGGAUCCACACUCAAAGGGCGUCUAGAUCAUGCUUUAGGCGUCGCCUAAGGAUGGGGCCGCAGCCGAUCAGGUUGUUGGUGGGGUAACGGCUCACCAAGCCUAUAACCGGUACGGGCCGCGAGAGCGGUAGCCUGGAGAUGGACACUGAGACAAGGGUCCAGGCCCUACGGGGCGCAGCAGUCGCGAAAACUCCGCAAUACACGAAAGUGUGACGGGGCUAUCCCGAGUGCCGUCCGCUGAGGAUGGCUUUUCUCCAGUGUAAGGAGCUGGAGGAAUAAGGAGAGGGCAAGUCUGGUGUCAGCCGCCGCGGUAAUACCAGCUCUCCGAGUGGUGGGGAUGUUUAUUGGGCCUAAAGCAUUCGUAGCCUGUUGAGCAAGUCCUCCGUUAAAUCCAACGAUUCAAUCGUUGGGCUGCGGGGGAUACUGCCGGACUAGGGGGCGGGAGAGGCCGACGGUAUCCCCGGGGUAGGGGUGAAAUCCUAUAAUCCCGGGAGGACCACCAGUGGCGAAGGCUGUCGGCUAGAACGCGCUCGACGGUGAGGGAUGAAAGCUGGGGGAGCGAACCGGAUUAGAUACCCGGGUAGUCCCAGCUGUAAACGAUGC